RNAcentral lists this ribosomal RNA (497 nucleotides) under uncultured bacterium. Its description in RNAcentral is "partial 16S ribosomal RNA". It matches the Rfam family "Bacterial small subunit ribosomal RNA", at positions 28 to 507 of the family's 1533-position model. The record is from RNAcentral.
GAUGAACGCUGGCGGCGUGCCUAAUACAUGCAAGUCGAGCGAACAGACGAGGAGCUUGCUCCUCUGACGUUAGCGGCGGACGGGUGAGUAACACGUGGAUAACCUACCUAUAAGACUGGGAUAACUUCGGGAAACCGGAGCUAAUACCGGAUAAUAUAUUGAACCGCAUGGUUCAAUAGUGAAAGACGGUUUUGCUGUCACUUAUAGAUGGAUCCGCGCCGCAUUAGCUAGUUGGUAAGGUAACGGCUUACCAAGGCAACGAUGCGUAGCCGACCUGGGAGGGUGAUCGGCCACGCUGGAACUGAGACACGGUCCAGACUCCUACGGGAGGCAGCAGUAGGGAAUCUUCCGCAAUGGGCGAAAGCCUGACGGAGCAACGCCGCGUGAGUGAUGAAGGUCUUCGGAUCGUAAAACUCUGUUAUUAGGGAAGAACAAAUGUGUAAGUAACUAUGCACGUCUUGACGGUACCUAAUCAGAAAGCCACGGCUAACUACGUG